GCAUGGGUUUGGAUUUAUGGCAAGCCCAUCCCCCUGGGUCUCUCACAGUGCUCAUGCCACAGCAAACUGGCCUUCAACCAUUACCUGGUCUCUGCUCGUAGGCUGCAGGCACUUAAGCAGGUUACGAAGUG
Small nucleolar RNA from Molossus molossus (Pallas's mastiff bat), 131 nucleotides. RefSeq annotates it as small nucleolar RNA SNORA42/SNORA80 family. The record is from RefSeq and is a predicted model, not a curated record. The transcript has a single exon. Lineage: Eukaryota; Metazoa; Chordata; Mammalia; Chiroptera; Molossidae.